AUUGAACGCUGGCGGCAUGCUUUACACAUGCAAGUCGAACGGUAACAGGCCUUCGGGUGCUGACGAGUGGCGAACGGGUGAGUAAUGCGUCGGAACGUGCCCAGUCGUGGGGGAUAACGCAGCGAAAGCUGUGCUAAUACCGCAUACGAUCUGCGGAUGAAAGCGGGGGACCUUGUAGCAAUAUGGGGCCUCGCGCGAUUGGAGCGGCCGAUGUCAGAUUAGGUAGUUGGUAGGGUAAAGGCCUACCAAGCCGACGAUCUGUAGCUGGUCUGAGAGGACGACCAGCCACACUGGGACUGAGACACGGCCCAGACUCCUACGGGAGGCAGCAGUGGGGAAUUUUGGACAAUGGGCGCAAGCCUGAUCCAGCAAUGCCGCGUGCAGGAAGAAGGCCUUCGGGUUGUAAACUGCUUUUGUACGGAACGAAACGGUCUGGGUUAAUACCCUGGGCUAAUGACGGUACCGUAAGAAUAAGCACCGGCUAACUACGUGCCAGCAGCCGCGGUAA
RNAcentral lists this ribosomal RNA (508 nucleotides) under uncultured bacterium. Its description in RNAcentral is "partial 16S ribosomal RNA". It matches the Rfam family "Bacterial small subunit ribosomal RNA", at positions 30 to 523 of the family's 1533-position model. The record is from RNAcentral.